ACUCCUACGGGAGGCAGCAGUGAGGAAUAUUGGUCAAUGGGCGGGAGCCUGAACCAGCCAUUCCGCGUGAAGGAAGAAGGCCUUACGGGUUGUAAACUUCUUUUCUGUAAGAAGAAUAGCCCCGACGCGUCGGGGUAUGACGGUAUUAUAGGAAUAAGCAUCGGCUAACUCCGUGCCAGCAGCCGCGGUAAUACGGAGGAUGCAAGCGUUAUCCGGAUUUAUUGGGUUUAAAGGGUGCGCAGGUGGUUUUAUAAGUCAGUGGUGAAAGUCUGGCGCUUAACGUUAGGAUUGCCAUUGAUACUGUAGGACUUGAGUAUGGAUGAGGUAGGCGGAAUGUGUAGUGUAGCGGUGAAAUGCAUAGAUAUUACACAGAACGCCGAUUGCGAAGGCAGCUUACUAAUCCAUUACUGACACUGAGGCACGAAAGCGUGGGGAUCAAACAGGAUUAGAUACCCUGGUAGUCCACGCCGUAAACGAUGAUCACUCGCUGUUUGCGAUAUACAGUAAGCGGCUGAG
RNAcentral lists this ribosomal RNA (516 nucleotides) under uncultured bacterium. RNAcentral describes it as "bacterial SSU rRNA". It matches the Rfam family "Bacterial small subunit ribosomal RNA", at positions 335 to 851 of the family's 1533-position model. The record is from RNAcentral.